RNAcentral lists this ribosomal RNA (135 nucleotides) under Hydrogenophaga sp. RNAcentral describes it as "partial 16S ribosomal RNA". It matches the Rfam family "Bacterial small subunit ribosomal RNA", at positions 1399 to 1533 of the family's 1533-position model. The record is from RNAcentral. Lineage: Bacteria; Pseudomonadati; Pseudomonadota; Betaproteobacteria; Burkholderiales; Comamonadaceae.
ACACCAUGGGAGCGGGUCUCGCCAGAAGUAGUUAGCCUAACCGCAAGGAGGGCGAUUACCACGGCGGGGUUCGUGACUGGGGUGAAGUCGUAACAAGGUAGCCGUAUCGGAAGGUGCGGCUGGAUCACCUCCUUU